UACAAGAGUCCAGAACAAGAUUUUUGUG
This 28-nucleotide non-coding RNA is filed under the name Mus musculus (house mouse). The record is from RNAcentral. Lineage: Eukaryota; Metazoa; Chordata; Mammalia; Rodentia; Muridae.